CCGUUGGUGAACCAGCGGAGGGAUCAUUACUGAGUUUACGCUCUACAACCCUUUGUGAACAUACCUAUAACUGUUGCUUCGGCGGGUAGGGUCUCCGUGACCCUCCCGGCCUCCCGCCCCCGGGCGGGUCGGCGCCCGCCGGAGGAUAACCAAACUCUGAUUUAACGACGUUUCUUCUGAGUGGUACAAGCAAAUAAUCAAAACUUUUAACAACGGAUCUCUUGGUUCUGGCAUCGAUGAAGAACGCAGCGAAAUGCGAUAAGUAAUGUGAAUUGCAGAAUUCAGUGAAUCAUCGAAUCUUUGAACGCACAUUGCGCCCGCCAGCAUUCUGGCGGGCAUGCCUGUUCGAGCGUCAUUUCAACCCUCAAGCUCUGCUUGGUGUUGGGGCCCUACAGCUGAUGUAGGCCCUCAAAGGUAGUGGCGGACCCUCCCGGAGCCUCCUUUGCGUAGUAACUUUACGUCUCGCACUGGGAUCCGGAGGGACUCUUGCCGUAAAACCCCCAAUUUUCCAAAGGUUGACCUCGGAUCAGGUAGGAAUACCCGCUGAACUUAAGCAUAUCAAUA
This 564-nucleotide ribosomal RNA is filed under the name Colletotrichum sp. BDS 162. RNAcentral's name for it is "eukaryotic LSU rRNA". The stretch from base 202 to 355 matches the Rfam family "5.8S ribosomal RNA". RNAcentral also lists the same sequence under 1 other name. Lineage: Eukaryota; Fungi; Ascomycota; Sordariomycetes; Glomerellales; Glomerellaceae. The record is from RNAcentral.